This 490-nucleotide ribosomal RNA is filed under the name uncultured bacterium. RNAcentral's name for it is "partial 16S ribosomal RNA". It matches the Rfam family "Bacterial small subunit ribosomal RNA", at positions 30 to 507 of the family's 1533-position model. The record is from RNAcentral.
AUUGAACGCUGGCGGCAGGCCUAACACAUGCAAGUCGAACGGUAACAGAAAGCAGCUUGCUGCUUUGCUGACGAGUGGCGGACGGGUGAGUAAUGUCUGGGAAACUGCCUGAUGGAGGGGGAUAACUACUGGAAACGGUAGCUAAUACCGCAUAACGUCGCAAGACCAAAGAGGGGGACCUUCGGGCCUCUUGCCACCGGAUGUGCCCAGAUGGGAUUAGCUAGUAGGUGGGGUAACGGCUCACCUAGGCGACGAUCCCUAGCUGGUCUGAGAGGAUGACCAGCCACACUGGAACUGAGACACGGUCCAGACUCCUACGGGAGGCAGCAGUGGGGAAUAUUGCACAAUGGGCGCAAGCCUGAUGCAGCCAUGCCGCGUGUAUGAAGAAGGCCUUCGGGUUGUAAAGUACUUUCAGCGGGGAGGAAGGGAGUAAAGUUAAUACCUUUGCUCAUUGACGUUACCCGCAGAAGAAGCACCGGCUAACUCCGUG